UACAGAGGUCUCAAGCGUUGUUCGGAUUCAUUGGGCGUAAAGGGUGCGUAGGCGGCGCGGUAAGUCGGGUGUGAAAUCUCGGAGCUUAACUCCGAAACUGCAUUCGAUACUGCCGUGCUGGAGGACUGGAGAGGAGACUGGAAUUUACGGUGUAGCGGUGAAAUGCGUAGAUAUCGUAAGGAAGACCAGUGGCGAAGGCGGGUCUCUGGACAGUUCCUGACGCUGAGGCACGAAGGCCAGGGGAGCAAACGGG
Molecule: ribosomal RNA, 253 nt
Filed under: uncultured bacterium
Lineage: Bacteria
Description: partial 16S ribosomal RNA
Rfam family: Bacterial small subunit ribosomal RNA
Source: RNAcentral